Molecule: ribosomal RNA, 1583 nt
Filed under: Staphylococcus aureus
Lineage: Bacteria; Bacillati; Bacillota; Bacilli; Caryophanales; Staphylococcaceae
Description: partial 23S ribosomal RNA
Rfam family: Bacterial large subunit ribosomal RNA
Source: RNAcentral
GAUUAAGUUAUUAAGGGCGCACGGUGGAUGCCUUGGCACUAGAAGCCGAUGAAGGACGUUACUAACGACGAUAUGCUUUGGGGAGCUGUAAGUAAGCUUUGAUCCAGAGAUUUCCGAAUGGGGAAACCCAGCAUGAGUUAUGUCAUGUUAUCGAUAUGUGAAUACAUAGCAUAUCAGAAGGCACACCCGGAGAACUGAAACAUCUUAGUACCCGGAGGAAGAAAAAGAAAAUUCGAUUCCCUUAGUAGCGGCGAGCGAAACGGGAAGAGCCCAAACCAACAAGCUUGCUUGUUGGGGUUGUAGGACACUCUAUACGGAGUUACAAAGGACGACAUUAGACGAAUCAUCUGGAAAGAUGAAUCAAAGAAGGUAAUAAUCCUGUAGUCGAAAAUGUUGUCUCUCUUGAGUGGAUCCUGAGUACGACGGAACACGUGAAAUUCCGUCGGAAUCUGGGAGGACCAUCUCCUAAGGCUAAAUACUCUCUAGUGACCGAUAGUGAACCAGUACCGUGAGGGAAAGGUGAAAAGCACCCCGGAAGGGGAGUGAAAUAGAACCUGAAACCGUGUGCUUACAAGUAGUCAGAGCCCGUUAAUGGGUGAUGGCGUGCCUUUUGUAGAAUGAACCGGCGAGUUACGAUUUGAUGCAAGGUUAAGCAGUAAAUGUGGAGCCGUAGCGAAAGCGAGUCUGAAUAGGGCGUUUAGUAUUUGGUCGUAGACCCGAAACCAGGUGAUCUACCCUUGGUCAGGUUGAAGUUCAGGUAACACUGAAUGGAGGACCGAACCGACUUACGUUGAAAAGUGAGCGGAUGAACUGAGGGUAGCGGAGAAAUUCCAAUCGAACCUGGAGAUAGCUGGUUCUCUCCGAAAUAGCUUUAGGGCUAGCCUCAAGUGAUGAUUAUUGGAGGUAGAGCACUGUUUGGACGAGGGGCCCCUCUCGGGUUACCGAAUUCAGACAAACUCCGAAUGCCAAUUAAUUUAACUUGGGAGUCAGAACAUGGGUGAUAAGGUCCGUGUUCGAAAGGGAAACAGCCCAGACCACCAGCUAAGGUCCCAAAAUAUAUGUUAAGUGGAAAAGGAUGUGGCGUUGCCCAGACAACUAGGAUGUUGGCUUAGAAGCAGCCAUCAUUUAAAGAGUGCGUAAUAGCUCACUAGUCGAGUGACACUGCGCCGAAAAUGUACCGGGGCUAAACAUAUUACCGAAGCUGUGGAUUGUCCUUUGGACAAUGGUAGGAGAGCGUUCUAAGGGCGUUGAAGCAUGAUCGUAAGGACAUGUGGAGCGCUUAGAAGUGAGAAUGCCGGUGUGAGUAGCGAAAGACGGGUGAGAAUCCCGUCCACCGAUUGACUAAGGUUUCCAGAGGAAGGCUCGUCCGCUCUGGGUUAGUCGGGUCCUAAGCUGAGGCCGACAGGCGUAGGCGAUGGAUAACAGGUUGAUAUUCCUGUACCACCUAUAAUCGUUUUAAUCGAUGGGGGGACGCAGUAGGAUAGGCGAAGCGUGCGAUUGGAUUGCACGUCUAAGCAGUAAGGCUGAGUAUUAGGCAAAUCCGGUACUCGUUAAGGCUGAGCUGUGAUGGGGAGAAGACAUUG